Molecule: ribosomal RNA, 254 nt
Filed under: uncultured bacterium
Lineage: Bacteria
Description: partial 16S ribosomal RNA
Rfam family: Bacterial small subunit ribosomal RNA
Source: RNAcentral
UACGGGGGGAGCAAGCGUUGUUCGGAUUUACUGGGCGUAAAGGGCGCGUAGGCGGUCAGCACAAGUCAGUUGUGAAAUCUCCGGGCUUAACUCGGAAAGGUCAACUGAUACUGUGCGACUAGAGUGCGGAAGGGGCAACUGGAAUUCUCGGUGUAGCGGUGAAAUGCGCAGAUAUCAGGAAGAACACCCGUGGCGAAGGCAGCUCUCUGGGACGUGACUGACGCUGAGACGCGAAAGCGUGGGGAGCGAACAGG